GGCCGGACUGCUCUGGGUUAGGCUGGGCAUCGGUCAUCGGGUGGACCAGCAGGCCGAAGGAAAUGAUUAUCCCCCUCUACACUGCUCUUAAGAGGCUCCACCUGGAGUACUGCCUUCAGCUCUGUGGCCCACAAGACCUGGUCGACUGGGUCCAGACAGCCACAAGUUGACUGAGUCCAGACGGCCACAGAAGACGGAACCAAAGGACAUAAACGUGUGCAUGCUAGGAGCUGAACUGCAGACUUAAAACAAGAUGAUAACACUGAAGGCUGUGACUUACAUUACUGGAUUGAUGGGAAAGUAUAUGACUAUAUAGGAGACUGUAUUAUCUUCAGAACUUUUCACAAGUAGAAGCAAAAUACAAAGAACUGUAGAAAAUGUGAGCUCAAGAAACUAAUUAUGAGAUUUAAAACUAUAACAUCCAUGUAUUAGGCUGAGGUGGACAGGUCACUUAAGUAGGAGUUUAAGAAGUAUACUUUUCUCUCCCCAUUAAGAUACUUUAUAGCAUUUAUCACAUAAUCAAAAUAAGAAUAUAUUUUGCAAAAGGUGCAUGUCCAACACAACUGGCUGACAAUGCUAUCAUAUUCAUGAUUUCCCUUUAGCUUUUAAUCAAUUAUCAUAUUCAUAUUUUUAAAUGUAUGUAGUUUUAAGUUUAUAUAGACAAUUGAUUUCAUCUACUUCUGCAGUGUGUUUUUUGAUCAAAAGUGAAUGUAUUUUUUAAGUAAUCAGAAGAUAGAAGAUAAUUAUCAAAAUUAGAAUGUAUGAAGUCUUUGCUAUAGAAUGUCUGGAAAAAAAAAAUUCUUUCUGUGUCCCAGAUACUCCUACAAUCAAUAAUUUUAGAAAAAAAUAAAAAUGAAACAUAAG
This is a long non-coding RNA of Anas platyrhynchos (mallard), 864 nucleotides long. RefSeq lists it as uncharacterized. NCBI's taxonomy places the organism in Eukaryota, Metazoa, Chordata, Aves, Anseriformes, Anatidae. The record is from RefSeq and is a predicted model, not a curated record.